This 253-nucleotide ribosomal RNA is filed under the name uncultured bacterium. Its description in RNAcentral is "partial 16S ribosomal RNA". It matches the Rfam family "Bacterial small subunit ribosomal RNA", at positions 524 to 776 of the family's 1533-position model. The record is from RNAcentral.
UACGUAGGGUGCAAGCGUUGUCCGGAAUUAUUGGGCGUAAAGAGCUCGUAGGCGGUCUGUCGCGUCUGCUGUGAAAACUCGGGGCUUAACCCCGGGCCCGCAGUGGGUACGGGCAGACUAGAGUGCGGUAGGGGAGACUGGAAUUCCUGGUGUAGCGGUGAAAUGCGCAGAUAUCAGGAGGAACACCGGUGGCGAAGGCGGGUCUCCGGGCCGUAACUGACGCUGAGGAGCGAAAGCGUGGGGAGCGAACAGG